UACGGAGGAUCCAAGCGUUAUCCGGAAUCAUUGGGUUUAAAGGGUCCGCAGGCGGCUUAUUAAGUCAGUGGUGAAAUCUGUACGCUUAACGUAAGAACGGCAAUUGAUACUGUUAAGCUUGAAUUUUUAGGAAGUAACUAGAAUAUGUAGUGUAGCGGUGAAAUGCUUAGAGAUUACAUGGAAUACCAAUUGCGAAGGCAGGUUACUACUAAUGGAUUGACGCUGAUGGACGAAAGCGUGGGUAGCGAACAGGAUGAGAUACCCUGGUAGUCCACGCCGUAAACGAUGGAUACUAGCUGUUGGGAGCAAUCUCAGUGGCUAAGCGAAAGUGAUAAGUAUCCCACCUGGGGAGUACGUUCGCAAGAAUG
This 368-nucleotide ribosomal RNA is filed under the name uncultured prokaryote. Its description in RNAcentral is "bacterial SSU rRNA". It matches the Rfam family "Bacterial small subunit ribosomal RNA", at positions 524 to 896 of the family's 1533-position model. The record is from RNAcentral.